Molecule: unclassified non-coding RNA, 1726 nt
Organism: Megachile rotundata (alfalfa leafcutting bee)
Lineage: Eukaryota; Metazoa; Arthropoda; Insecta; Hymenoptera; Megachilidae
Source: RefSeq, a predicted model, not a curated record
UAAAGGCAUGCAUAGUCUUGUUAUGUUUAUAGCCACUGCUGUAAACAUUGACUCUGUAGUCACGCUGUUGUAAACUCAUGUAUAUAAAAGUGGAUAUAUUUUGAUAUUAUACAAAAUAAAAACUUAGAUAUGGGAAACCGAAAAAGAACAAAAAUAACACGAAUGAACAAGGAACCAGAAGAUUUGGAGGAUAUGAAUAUGAAUGAAGUAACAGAUUCUGAAGAAGAAUAUUCAGAAAAUGAACGUAAAUUACUUCAGGAUGUGCGAACUAGACAUUCUUCAGAAAGUUAUGAUAGCGAUUAUGAAGUUUAUAAAUUAACUGAUGAUAACAAAGAAGAUCAUGUUGAUACUGAAGAUGGCAUGCAAACAGAUUCAAUGGAAUCUGAUAUUGAAGGAUUAGAAGAAGAUUUUGGCUUACCAAAUGAAAAGGCUUGGGGUAAAAAGAAGAAAGCUUAUUAUUCUACUGAUUAUGUUGAUGCUGAUUAUUCUAGCAUUACCGAGAAGGAUUUAGCUGUAGCGGAAUUGGAAGAACAGGAAGCUAGAAAUAUCCAAAAAAGACUAGCAGAGCAAUUAGAUGAUGUUGAUUUUGGAUUAGAUUUUAUGCGAUCAAAAAAAACUAAUAACGAAGAAAUUCAAGAGGAUACUAAACAAAUUAUAAAACCUGAUUUUAGUAAACUUAGUAAAAGACAGAAACAAGCAUUAAUGCAAAAGGAAAAUCCUGAAUUUAUGGCCCUUGUGAACGACUUUAAAGAUCGUAUGGGAGAAGCAAAAGAUGUGUUAGCUCCAUUUCUGAAAUUAGUAAAUAGUGAUUUACUUCCUAGUUGUCCUGCUAUCUCUUUCAUAAAAACAAAAUACCACCUUUUAUUAAAUUAUUGCAUCAACAUUUCCUUCUAUUUAAUGCUGAAAGCUAAAAGAUCACCUAUAAAUUCACAUCCAGUUAUAAAACGUUUGGCUCAGUAUCGUCAGUUAUUAAAUCAGUUAGAAUCUGGGCAAGGAAAUUUGAUGCAUGAAGUUCAAGAUAUAUUAAAGGCACAGAAACAAGGCAAACCAUUAUAUAAUAUAUUUAACGGUACUAAAAUAAACAUUACUGAACAGAAAAUAAGUAAUUGUUUCAAAGAACAAUCAAUAAUUCCUAAAAAACCUACAAAAAAAAUUAUAAAUAUGAAUUCAUUUGAAUCUGAAUCAGAAUCUGAAUUUAUAACAAAGAAUCAAGAGCUUAUAAGUGAAGAGAAUUUGAAAAAUAAUGAAUAUGUGAUGGAAGAAGAAGAGAAAAAAGAUAUCGAAACGAUAAAUUCUGCAGCCGAAAAUGAAGGAAAAAGAGCAAUUACAUAUGAAAUAGCAAAAAAUAAAGGCUUGACACCACAUCGCAAGAAAGAACAACGUAAUCCCAGAGUGAAACAUAGAAACAAAUAUCGCAAAGCUAAAAUCCGUAGGAGAGGAGCUGUAAGGGAAGUAAGGAAAGAAGUUACUCGUUAUGCUGGCGAAAUAUCUGGUAUUAAAGCAAGCGUGAAGAAAAGUAUAAAAUUAAAAUAACUGAUCCAUGUCAUUAUUAAACUUUGGAUUAAAAAUUGUACAGUUUAUUUCUUACUAAAAUACAUAUAUUUUUUAUCAAAUAUAAGUAUUAUUAACACUGAAAAAGAAUAGAACAAAAAACAAUAUACUAAGAAAUAAUAAAAACAUAACGAACGUUUUAUUCUAGUUUCAUGUAUAUGUAAAUAUGAAAUGA